This is a long non-coding RNA of Brassica oleracea var. oleracea, 1041 nucleotides long. RefSeq lists it as uncharacterized. Lineage: Eukaryota; Viridiplantae; Streptophyta; Magnoliopsida; Brassicales; Brassicaceae. The record is from RefSeq and is a predicted model, not a curated record. The transcript has 2 exons.
UUUAAUACAAUCUACUAGCCCAAUGAAACCCAAUAAAAACCUGCCUUUGAAGUGCCCUUAGUAAAAUAAGCCCGAAGAGAAAGAGAAUUAAAAAGUUCGAAAUUAAAUAGCCCAGUCUGAAAUUAGUUAGCGUAAAGGGAAGAGAAGAACCCUAGUUAGGAUCAAUGGAGAAAGAGAACCAGAGUUGCAUGAGAUCACUUGCAAGAGCAUUCAUGUCAGGUCGCAAAGAUGAUAUCUUGUUCUUGAUGAGCCGGUUGAUCUUAAGGCAAAGACGUUCCGGUGAUUGGUAUCUUCCCCGAUGAAGUCGUUGGUUACGCUCCCACCAGAUCUCAUAGAUGAUCGCCUGCCAGGAGAGGAUGGAGAGGUACUUGUGCUGCUUGGAUCCCGCAAAGGACAGGAGAGAGUGAGACAGAGGGGGUCUGUUUGUAAUCCCCAAGAAAUAAGACGAUCUCGAGUAGGGCUUCUAUUGAGUUGCAUCAGCCAAGCGAGGGAGCAAUGUUUCGGGAUCCCUUUCUUUAGCCAGAUCAGAGGGAACCAAGGAACAGUGGGGGCAUGAUCAAAGAAUGGUAGAAGAAGAGAAUGAAGAUUGCACCCGUCCAUUGAUGAUCCACUGGAGAAAUCAAAGUGAGAUAGGUUAGUAGAUCCUCCAUCUGUUGUGAUCUAGCUGGUCGAAAGGACCAGGCACCAUUAAUCCAGUGAUCUGCGACGGUCCAUUAGUACCAAUGAAGGAGAUCAGCUGACCAAACUUGGUCCAUGGGUCCAGCCAGAAUUUGAUGUUGGUUCCAUAACCAGGAGUUAAGCGAAUCCACUGGAGGAUAGUCUUUCUUUCCGCAAGCAGUCUCUUGAAUAACCAGGAGCCACAAGAGCUUGAUGGUGCAUGUUUUAUUCCAUAGCGCCAGGUUCCGCAAGCCUAGACCUCCAUUUCUCUUAGGUAACGUUACUUUGUCCCAAGCAACACGAGCUACAUAUUUACGUGCCUUUCCAGAGAAAUGCAUUGCACAUUUUAUCUAUAAGGUUUAUGCAUUCCUUAGGAAGAAUGAA